Paramacrobiotus metropolitanus is the source of this 644-nucleotide long non-coding RNA. RefSeq lists it as uncharacterized. NCBI's taxonomy places the organism in Eukaryota, Metazoa, Tardigrada, Eutardigrada, Parachela, Macrobiotidae. The record is from RefSeq and is a predicted model, not a curated record. The transcript has 3 exons.
UUUCAGUGCCGUAAUUAACCAUGAACACUGAGUACGAGUACGUACUACGUAGUACGUGUUGGAAGAUUGUCAAUUUGUCAGAGUGCAUUUAAUAAUACCCUCUGCCCAGUGGUUACUCGAAAGUCAAGAGGUAAUUAUGGAGCACUAGACCUCACACUUAUUAUGCCAUUAUUUCCGGACAGCGGUGCAGCUUCGAAUUCGGGAGGUAAACGAAUUUUGGACCACUGUCGACACGAAACCUCACAGUCCGACUGCGGCGUCACACCGGCCGCGUACAGCCGUCGUGCGCUAUGGAUAUUCUAUUCGCGAUAUGGCAGAUGCCGUAGUUAAUUUACCUGGCAGAAGUGGAGCGAAGCGAGCAAGGCGGCGCUGGCGACGUGGGGGCUCUUGUCGACGAUGGCCUGCUUCAUGUAGCGCUCGACGGACUGCAGCAUGGACUGGUCGACGAUCAUGCACAGCGCGCGGAUGGCCGCGGCGCGGUACGCCUCCUCCUUGCCCGUCAUGUCCUUCAUCAGACUACUGGUCACGAUGAUCACGUCCUCCGCCACCUAAUCAAUCGAUCGAUUAAUUAUUUCCGCAAUGGAAAUUAAUCAGAAUUACGCUUAAUGCAAACUAGUGACACUCUAAUAGUGCAGCUGAUGAUU